RNAcentral lists this long non-coding RNA (635 nucleotides) under Coffea arabica (coffee). RNAcentral describes it as "long non-coding RNA (CARA_LNC003388)". Lineage: Eukaryota; Viridiplantae; Streptophyta; Magnoliopsida; Gentianales; Rubiaceae. The record is from RNAcentral.
UGGUUCUUUUAUUUUGGUUUAAGUUGUUAUAUAAUACUUGUUUUGGUUGGAUUAGUGGUGAUACAAGUUGUUAUGAUGAUUUAAAGGUGAUUUAUGUGAGUUAGGGUUUGAGGUAUUUGCUGCCUAUCCUUGCUAUAUGGAUGAUAUAUGUUGUAUUUAAGCUUAUAUAAGUGGUUGUGGUGAUGAUUGGAGCAAGAAAUCAAGAAAGGUUGCAUUGAAUCCCAAAAUUCCAGGUUUCUGGAAAAUUUCAGCUCUAUUCUGUCCGGUUUUAUUGCACCAUGUUAGAGGCCGAAUUAGGCUUGGUAUAAAACAUAAAAGUUGUAGAGAAUGGUAUUUUAUAGGUUCCUACAAAAUUUCAGCUCAAUCGGAGCAACGUAGCCUGUGAAAAGACCAAAAUACCCUCACUAUUUUAGGAUGUUUCCAGUGUUCCGUUUUAGUUAGUUCAUCCAGUUUAUCAUGUUUAUUCACUAGGAUUCGUGCUGAUUUAGCCAUUUUCCAAAACAUGAAAGUUUUAGUACUCUGUCUUAGUUUUUCAACACCUACAAGAACACCUUAAACGAACCUUGGUAGCCUGAGAUAUGACCAUUCUAGUGCAGUACGGUUAAUUAGUCGUAUAGUUGGAAGUUGGCUCUGUA